Non-coding RNA from Schizosaccharomyces pombe (fission yeast), 360 nucleotides. The record is from the annotation of a GenBank genome assembly. NCBI's taxonomy places the organism in Eukaryota, Fungi, Ascomycota, Schizosaccharomycetes, Schizosaccharomycetales, Schizosaccharomycetaceae.
UCUCGAAUUAAGCAUAAGGACCUGCAUAUUACACCAUUUUUAAGCCAUUUCUCAAAUUUUAAAAGUUAUAAUUCCGUUUUUCUCUUUUCAUAGUCUGAAAACUCUAAAACUUAGCGUGCUUCGAACUGAACCAUUCUCUUGGUUCUCAUUUUGUACAUAACACGAUGCCCACACUCUCGACAACGAAUAACUUCUUUCGCUUGGAUUGUAUUACGCGCUCCGCAAUCUGAUGGUCAGUCUUUUAUCAUAUACUCAUUUAAUUCUACUCAAUGAUCAUACCCGCACAUAAAUAAAUCAUAGUGGCUGGUCUGGGGGGAUUGAAAGCGGUACCGCCAGUGGAGGUUGGAUGAUUCAUUUUGU